GAUGAACGCUGGCGGCGUGCCUAAUACAUGCAAGUCGAGCGCACGGACGAGAAGCUUGUUCCUCUGAGGUUAGCGGCGGACGGGUGAGUAACACGUGGAUAAUCUACCUAUAAGACUGGGAUAACUUCGGGAAACCGGUGCUAAUACCGGAUAAUAUUUUGAAACACAUGGUUCAAAAGUGAAAGACGCAAUUGCAGCAACUAAAAGAGAGAUCGCGGAUGAUUAAGUUAGUUGGUAAGGUAACGCUCUACCAAGGGAACGAUGCAUAGCCGACUGGGAAGGGUGAUCGCCCACAUUGGAACUGGGACAGGCCCCAGCCUCCUAGGGGAGGAGGCAGUGGGGAAUCUUCGGCAUGGGGGGAAAGCCUGACGGGGCAACGCGGGGUGGGUGAUGAAGGUCUCCGGAUCGUAAACCUCGUUUAUUGGGGAAGAACAUAUUUGUAAGUGAAUGUUCAUAAAGUGACGGUAACUAAUCAGAAAGCGACGGCUAACUACGUG
RNAcentral lists this ribosomal RNA (497 nucleotides) under uncultured bacterium. RNAcentral describes it as "partial 16S ribosomal RNA". It matches the Rfam family "Bacterial small subunit ribosomal RNA", at positions 28 to 507 of the family's 1533-position model. The record is from RNAcentral.